CAGCAGCCGCGGGAAUACGUAGGGUGCGAGCGUUAAUCGGAAUUACUGGGCGUAAAGCGUGCGUAGGCGGCUUUUUAAGUCGGAUGUGAAAUCCCUGAGCUUAACUUAGGAAUUGCAUUCGAUACUGGGAAGCUAGAGUAUGGGAGAGGAUGGUAGAAUUCCAGGUGUAGCGGUGAAAUGCGUAGAGAUCUGGAGGAAUACCGAUGGCGAAGGCAGCCAUCUGGCCUAAUACUGACGCUGAGGUACGAAAGCAUGGGGAGCAAACAGGAUUAGAUACCCGAGUAGUCCCUGUCUCUUAUAA
Molecule: ribosomal RNA, 301 nt
Filed under: uncultured bacterium
Lineage: Bacteria
Description: partial 16S ribosomal RNA
Rfam family: Bacterial small subunit ribosomal RNA
Source: RNAcentral